Molecule: ribosomal RNA, 207 nt
Filed under: uncultured bacterium
Lineage: Bacteria
Description: partial 16S ribosomal RNA
Rfam family: Bacterial small subunit ribosomal RNA
Source: RNAcentral
CGCGCAGGUGGUUUCUUAAGUCUGAUGUGAAAGCCCACGGCUCAACCGUGGAGGGUCAUUGGAAACUGGGAGACUUGAGUGCAGAAGAGGAUAGUGGAAUUCCAAGUGUAGCGGUGAAAUGCGUAGAUAUUAGGAGGAACACCAGUGGCGAAGGCGACUUUCUGGACUGUAACUGACACUGAGGCUCGAAAGCCAGGGUAGUGAACG